Molecule: RNA transcript, 3210 nt
Organism: Humulus lupulus (European hop)
Lineage: Eukaryota; Viridiplantae; Streptophyta; Magnoliopsida; Rosales; Cannabaceae
Gene name: 3-hydroxy-3-methylglutaryl-coenzyme A reductase 2-like
Exons: 13
Source: RefSeq, a predicted model, not a curated record
GAGGACCCUGAAAAUUUUGAGACACUUUCCAUCAUCUUUAACAGGUUGGAGCACCGCCCGAGGUGAUUGCUAGACUGGAAGAAGCUUGCUCAUCAGCAGCCGCAAUGGGCCACAUGAGCACCGGCUGCCUCGGCGAAGAUCCGGCUUUGGAUCAGUUCAUGGAGGCAUACUGCGAGAUGUUGACCAAGUACGAGCAAGAGCUCUCAAAACCCUUUAAGGAAGCCAUGUUUUUUCUUCAAAGGGUCGAGUGACAAUUCAAAGCUCCGUCGCUUUCUUUGGAUUCUGGUGAUCAUAUAUAUAACUUCCCAUCUCUUUGAUUUGGUUAAUUAUUAGCAUUUUGUUUUUGGUAGAUUUCCAACUUUUGACUGACUUUGAUACAUUUACUUGGUUCAUAUAAAAUAAUAUUUUUGAAUGGUUAGCCAGUAGCCAUUUAGGUAUGUCUGUUUCCAAGAACCACAUAUAUAUAUUUAUAGGUUUAAUUUAAUAAUAUAUGUGGAAAAGAUUGUUCUGUGAAGCUUGUGCUUGACUGCCUUGUUCCUUUUUUUUUUUUUCUAUUUCUAGUCUCUCUCCUUGGGGUCAGGAAGCCCAUGGUAAGAUUUGUGAUGCUCAUAACAUUGGUUUCACAAUCUAUGAUGUUGUUGUUGUCCUCAUUGUUACUUUAUCUUGGUUCUGGGACCAUACAGAUUGGAUGCCAAUUGAUUCAGUUAUUGACAGAAACAACUUAUAUACAACCUCCAGUUGAUCAAUUAGGUGAUACUCCACCGGAUAUACGCCCUGCAUUUGUUCGCAGCCUUAAAACUAUCACUAAAGAAGCACAGAAGACCAGUUGGAGAUAUGGUGUAAUUGAAUGUGACCCACUUGUUCGAAGAGGCCUGGAAAAAACUGCCAGGCACAUGGUCAUCCCUUAUAUGCCGAUGCUAGUCCCCCCUAAUAAUUGGCCAGGGUAUGACAAAGGAGCCUAUUUGUUCUUGUCAUCAUAUGUAUGCGGACACAUGGAGCAAAACAACAACGUGAAGCAGUUAAAAGGACUUCUAGGAAGCAACUGGAACCUGUUUUAGAGGCCCUGGAUACACUUGGAAAUACCAAAUGGAGGGUGAACAAAAGGGUGCUUAGUGUGAUAGAGGAUCCUUUCAGUGUUUGACAACAUGUAUUAGUCUUGCAGAAGCAUUGAGAAGCCCCUCUUCGAAGACAACUCUUUCACAUAUGCCUGUCCACCAGGUUGGAGAGAAAGACAGUUAAGAGGAAAAGAGUUUUUGCUCGAACAUAUUGUUCACCUUCUUGCCAAUGAGCAAUCACAACUUCGUGUUCUUGAAGAAGCUGAACCCAAAUAGUGACUUUUGGCAGUCUAAACUGUUGCUUUGAAUAUCAAACUUCUUCUGAUGUGGCCCCCAGGGCAGGAGCAAAAACAAUACAUUGCAAGAGUUAUUGGGGCAUUUCCCGAGCAUGAGAAAGUUGUAGAUGCCAAUAUAAAUUAUAAUGCCCGGGAAGGAAAGAGCACAGCAGAGGAUAGGUUGAUGCUACAUUUUCUAUAGCUUUCAUAUGAUAAUAGUCCGUUAUUAGUUUGUUUUGAUGUCUGCUGAGAGGUGCUCAACUCCUCUAGUGGCACUGCAGUAAAAGGGAAGGUUGCUUGUACCAACUUCACUAGAAUUAGUACCAAUGGAAUUCAUAGCAUUGUCUCAUGCCAUCCAAUCACUGGAAGAACUCAUCAAGUAAGUUCACCAAGUUAAGAAAAUGCCAUGAACACGUUUUAUUCACUGACCAUACUACAAAACCCGUGUUGCAUAAUAAAUUUGGUGGUUAAUUAUUUGAUGUGCGCGCUUUCUUUAAUUUAUUUUCUAGGGCUCACAUGCGUAAUACUCUAGUGAACUAAAUAUUUCAAUGUUAAAAGUUAAGCUUGCACUGAUAAUUUGGACAUAAAUUCUUGAGGUAGUGAUCCUACUAUGCAUAUUUUUCCGUUGUUUUAGCUUGAAAAAGCUAAGUAAAUAAAAGUUUAAUGACUUUAUGUUACUCACUCAUUCUAUUUCUUUUAUGUAGAAACGUGUUCAUAUGUGUUCCUCUAUAUAUGAAGGUUUAUAUAAUUAAAGUCGUGUGUAUUGAAGUUGUUAACAUUAUAUAUAUACAUUUUUUGGAGUAAAGCAUUUGAUGUAAGUUUUUAAAGUAUUUAUUGGACUUUAUUAGAGUGUUCUACUAUAUGAGUUCAACAUAGCCAUUAGUUUUGUUUUAACUGUCAUUAGUGAUACAUCUUUUGCUGUUGGUUAAUACAUGUGACAGUGAGAAUCCAUUUCUUACUGCUUUGGCUUCUCUUUUGUGAUUUCUUGCUAUAUAUAAUGAAACUUAUAGGGUAACUCUUGAUGGUAUAUUCUGUUGCGCUAUGUGUUUUAUUUCUGCUGUAAUUGUUGUAGUAGUUAUAACAUAUAUAUCAUAGGAAAAGUAGUGUUCUAAAGGGUGUAUACACUCCCACUACAAUAGGGGCUGGGCAUUUUCUCAGUCCAUUCCCUCUCUCAGUCACUCAGGUAUGGAGAUUGCUUUUUUAUUUUAUAUUUUAAUUUCUUUUCUGUUUUUUUCUUUCUUUCUUUUGUUUUGGUGAGUUUUGUGCAAUAACUAUUUCAGGUUAUAUAAUGAGCGGUUAGGUAUGAGAUAUGGGCGAAAUCCAUACUGGAGCUUUCCGUGGACUUCUCAUAUUACAGGUUUUAAUUUUCAGUUUGUUAAUUAUAUAUGUAUAUUUAUUUAUGCUUACCAUUCAUUAUUUGAAAAUUAUUCUCAAGUGAUGAUGAUGUGUUUACUUGUUCCGUCAUUGUGCGAGAUUGACCACAAAGAUGUACCAUUUGUUACUUUAAUGGAUGUUCUUACCUAUCGAGAGGGGGAUUCCCGAGACAUUUUGCAUCUUAGAAAAGGCCUCCUGAAAGUAGUUUUGGGUCAUCUUGAGUGGCAGGAAUGGGCAUCUGAGCAUUGUUCAGCACCUUUUCGAGCUCCUGAGUUGUGGGAUUGUCCAAGUAAUGCAGAUAUUGAUGAGAGAACUGAUAUUUGGUCAUUAGGAUGCACUUUAUAUGCGAUAAUGUGAUAAUGUUUUUUACCAUGUGAUUUAAGAUUUAUUGGUUUAAGUUUUCGGGUCUUUGUCUCCUGAGAGCUAUAAUAUAAUUUGAUGACAGUGUUGAAUGUUUUGAACUAAUUUGUGGAUUGUUAAUACAAUGUUGAAUGCUUUUUACUUUU